Molecule: RNA transcript, 3606 nt
Organism: Myotis myotis
Lineage: Eukaryota; Metazoa; Chordata; Mammalia; Chiroptera; Vespertilionidae
Gene: SUV39H1
Gene name: suppressor of variegation 3-9 homolog 1
Exons: 5
Source: RefSeq, a predicted model, not a curated record
GGAGGAUGGGUUCCAUGAGUGUGGAGGGGGACUCUAAGGGAUAGGAGAUUCCACCUGUGGUCAGUGCGGCGCCAGCAGCUGGAGAUGCUGCAGUGUGUGUUGCAAAUCUUCUUGGAAUCAGCUACAGGACCUCUGCCGCCUGGCCAAGCUCUCAUGCCCUGCCCUCGGAAUCUCCAAGAGGAACCUCUAUGACUUUGAAGUCGAGUACCUGUGUGACUACAAGAAGAUCCGCAUGAGGAAACCAAGGCUCAGCAAAAUUAAAUAACUUGUCCAAGGCCAUACUACUAGGGAAUGAAGGUUCAGAAUUUGUACCCAGGGUGUCUGUGUAGUUAAACUGUGUCCUAUAGCCGCCCCCAGCAAGAGAAGGUCCCUCUGGCUGCUGUUUGGAGAACAGACUAUAGGGGCAAGGGCAGAAGCAAGGGGACCAGUGAGGAGGCCACUGCUGCAGUCCAGGCGAGUGGUGACAGUGAUGAUGGUUGUAAGUGGUUGAAUUCUGGAUGUAGUUUGAAGGUGGGGUUGACAGGAUUUGCUGAGGGUGGAUGUGAGGAGUAUUAGAGAAAGGAGUCAAGGAUGACUCCCAAGAGUUGGGGCCUGAGCUGCUAGCAGGAGGGAGCUAAUGAUGAGGAAGACAGAGAAGGGAGUAGGUUUAGGAGAUAAAAUUAAAAUUUAGAAUUUGACCCUGGCCAGUGUGGCUAAGUUGGUUGGGCAUUGUCCCAUGCACUGAAAGGUUGCUGGUUCCAUUCCCAGGGCACAUGCCCAGGUUGCAGGUUUGAUUCCCAGUCGGGGGCGUGCAGGAGGUGGCCGGUCAAUGUUUCACUCUCACAUGGAUGUUUCUCUCUCUAAAAAUCAAUUAAAAUUACUCUUUAAAAAGUUAGAAUUUAGACAGCAUGAGUAGAACAGGACUUGAACCUACUGAUCCUGGCUUUAGAGCCCAUGCUUUUUAACCAAUGCAUGGAGCCAUUCCAGAAAAGGGUGGGGAGUGGUUUGGGUGUUAUCCAUUGGUUUUGGAAUGGAAGUCUCACGAGGGCUGGCCCAAGGGUCUCGCCACUUAUGGUGGCCCCCAUCCCCCUGGUCCCCCCAACAGGAACAGGAGUAUUACCUGGUAAAAUGGCGUGGAUACCCAGAGUCAGAGAGUACCUGGGAGCCACGGCAGAAUCUCAAGUGUGUGCGCAUUCUCAAGCAGUUCCACAAGGACUUAGAACGAGAGUUGGUCCGGCGGCGCCACCGGUCAAAGCCACCCCGGCACCUGGACCCAAGCUUGGCCAGCUACCUGGUGCAGAAGGCCAAGCAGAGACGGGCACUCCAGCUCUGGGAGCAGGAGCUCAAUGCCAAACGCAACCAUCUGGGACGCAUCACUGUGGAGAAUGAGGUGGAUCUGGAUGGCCCCCCUCGGGCCUUUGUAUACAUUAACGAGUACCGCGUUGGUGAGGGCAUCACCCUCAACCAGGUGGCCGUGGGCUGUGAGUGUAAGGACUGCUUGUGGGCACCUGCUGGAGGCUGCUGCCCGGGGGCAUCGCUGCACAAGUUUGCCUACAAUGACCAGGGCCAGGUGCGGCUGCGAGCUGGGCUGCCCAUCUACGAGUGCAACUCCCGUUGCCGCUGUGGCUAUGACUGCCCCAACCGUGUGGUACAGAAGGGCAUCCGCUACAACCUCUGCAUCUUCCGCACGGAUGAUGGGCGUGGCUGGGGCGUCCGCACACUGGAGAAGAUCCGCAAGAACAGCUUCGUCAUGGAGUACGUGGGAGAGAUUAUUACUUCAGAGGAGGCGGAGCGGCGGGGCCAGAUCUACGACCGCCAGGGUGCUACAUACCUCUUUGACCUGGACUACGUGGAGGAUGUGUACACUGUGGAUGCCGCCUAUUAUGGCAACAUCUCCCACUUUGUCAACCACAGUGUGGGUACCCUGCAGGUGGGCGAGGGUCGGGAGGAGCAGGCUGGGCCCCUCCUCACCCUCCUGCUGUUCUCUUUCUCCCAGUGCGACCCCAACCUCCAGGUGUACAACGUCUUCAUAGACAACCUUGAUGAGCGGCUGCCCCGCAUUGCUUUCUUUGCCACAAGAACCAUCUGGGCAGGCGAGGAGCUCACUUUUGAUUACAACAUGCAAGGUGGGGGUGUCAAGGGACUGGGGGCAGGGGCACACAGUGACAUGGGACACAAAGACCCCUCCCCAAGGAGCUUUAAGAUGCUCUUUCUGACUCCCAAUCUCCCAUCUGGACUUUUGGACCCCUGCCUACCCUUUGGGGGUCCCCUCAUUCCCAACCCCUGGACCAACUUCUCCCAAGACUCCUGGGGGAGGAAGAUGUUUGGCUUGAGAAUUAAUACUUCUCCUGAUUUCAAUCUUGUCUGAAAUAUCCUCAGUCCCCCAACCCUCCCUGUUCCUAACCCUUUUUGGCUUUCCUCGUUCUAAGCCUCUGGACACCCUAUGGCCUCCAACCAGUCCCCUACUUGACAAACUAGCCACCUCUGAGACACUCAAGAGGGGAUCUUUGGCAGGAGAGUUCAGAUAUCCCUCUGAUGCCCAGGUGACCCUUCAUUCCCAGACCUCUGCCUGCCACAACCCUCCUGGUUCUCCCCAACACCCCCUGCCUCCCCACAACCCCGGGCCAUCUUCCUUUCCCCCGUAUAACCCCCAAAUCCUGGCCAUCUUCCUAACAUGUGAACACCCUCUAGUGCUAAGCCCUGGCCCCAGCCCCAAACUACCAACUCCAUGACCCCCCUCCUGACCCAAAUCCCAGACCUGUUCCCAGCCCCCAAGAUCCCUGGGUCUCAUGGUAAAGGGGCAGUGGGACACUACACCUAGGCCUUCUAACAAGUCCCCUCCCCCCUCCUGCCCUCCCUGGCUGUGUGACUCCACAGUGGACCCCGUGGACAUGGAGAGCACCCGCAUGGACUCCAACUUUGGCCUGGCUGUGCUCCCCGGCUCCCCCAAGAAGCGGAAGUAGCUGCCCACAUGCCACUGGAAGGAGAGUGGAUGCCCAUGGCUCACUGGUCACUGGCCAAUGAGAGGAAGGCAGUCCAGACUCUCCGAACCCUUAAGGUGGACUGGGAUUGAGCUCUGCCCAUGAGGUGCACAGAAGGCGCCUGGGAGCCCCGUCGGCGUGUGACGACUGCUGGGACUACUCAGAGCUGGAACCAAGACCUAGGUAGGCUGUAGAUAGCACUUAGGACAAAAAUGUGCAUUGAUGGGGUGGUGCUGAGGUGCCAGGCACUGGGCUGAGCACCUGGUCUACAUAGAUUGUCUCAGGGAAGCCUUAAAAACUGUGGAGGUGGAUCCUAGGAAAGGGCCCAUAUGGCAGGAGGCCAAGUACAGUCUCAAAAGUUACCUGCCCACAGAUGUACAGAAGACGAAGGCUCUGAUGGCUGCCUCACCCCUUGCUUCCCCUGUGAGGUCUUCUCCAGGAAGCCUUCCCUGACUACCUGUGCCCAGAGUGCCCCUCUGUGAGACUGUGCCCUGCCACCAGAUCUGUGUGGCUGUCUGUGUGUCUGUGCUCCCUGCCCCUAGACUGAAUUUCAGGCAUGGACUGAAUCUCAUUCUCCUCUUGUAUAUUUCUUGGCCCAACCCAGCCUGGGGUAGGCAUCAAUAAAAUGAGUUGCUGACUGAACAAA